Molecule: ribosomal RNA, 492 nt
Filed under: uncultured bacterium
Lineage: Bacteria
Description: partial 16S ribosomal RNA
Rfam family: Bacterial small subunit ribosomal RNA
Source: RNAcentral
AAUGAACGCUGGCGGUAGGCCUAACACAUGCAAGUCGAACGGCAGCACAGUAAGAUCUUGCUCUUACGGGUGGCGAGUGGCGGACGGGUGAGGAAUACAUCGGAAUCUACUUUUUCGUGGGGGAUAACGUAGGGAAACUUACGCUAAUACCGCAUACGACCUACCGGUGAAAGCAGUGGAUCUUCGGACCUUGCGCGAUUGAAUGAGCCGAUGUCGGAUUAGCUAGUUGGCGGGGUAAAGGCCCACCAAGGCGACGAUCCGUAGCUGGUCUGAGAGGAUGAUCAGCCACACUGGAACUGAGACACGGUCCAGACUCCUACGGGAGGCAGCAGUGGGGAAUAUUCGACAAUGGGCGCAAGCCUGAUCCAGCCAUACCGCGUGGGUGAAGAAGGCCUUCGGGUUGUAAAGCCCUUUUGUUGGGAAAGAAAAGCAGCAGGUUAAUACCCCGCUGUUCUGACGGUACCCAAAGAAUAAGCACCGGCUAACUUCGUG